Molecule: long non-coding RNA, 1159 nt
Organism: Hermetia illucens (black soldier fly)
Lineage: Eukaryota; Metazoa; Arthropoda; Insecta; Diptera; Stratiomyidae
Exons: 3
Source: RefSeq, a predicted model, not a curated record
AUUAGACUCAGUGCAAUUCUUUUAGGAUUAAUCAUUUUAAGUACGUUCUUCAGUCAACGUAAACUUAUCUAUAUUUUUCACAUUACCAUCACGUAUGGUGAUGUUGAUGAGUACAUUAGCAAUUAAGAAACUACUAAGUAUAUACAUCGACUAGCACGUAUUUAACGCAGGAAAGAAUGAAACGAAUGGAGAAAUAAUGAUAAGGCGAAAUCACUGUUACUAUGAUAACAAAAAUGGCUGUUGCAAUGUCAAUACUUCCAAACUUCUAUUUUGGGCAUUUAUGCGGAAUGGGGGACACGUGGAAGGCAAAGUUAAAACAAAUCCAAUUGCAAGAAUCGCCUUCGUUUUGGAGAGUUUCACGACUAUUGUAUUGGGGACAGUGACGGCAGAAGAGCAGCUGCUUUCUUAGUUCCUAAAGAAAUAAUUAUUGUUUUCGAGUAAACUUUGACUAGAGUGGCGUGUUAACGAUCGAAAUCACAGAAUCGUACAUAUCUACAUGAAACAAUUUGGAAAUAUCAAUUGAGGUAUCAUUUGCACUGGAAUGAUAACAUUGAGGAGGGCUGGAGUAGAUAUCGUGGUUUCUUCAUUAUUUAAUAUGUUUAUCUGCAUGUGUGGAAAACAAAUGGAAACUGAUAGCUGAUAAAGAAAAUCUCCGUUCUUGCAGUUGAUUAAUCAGUGAUUUCUCGGCAUCUUGAAAUGGACUAUUUAACGGGAAAAAAUGAGUUAACACACAGCUUUCGUACGCCGGAUGAUAGAAUCAAUUAACGUACCAUAUAUAUAUAUAAAAAUAAUAAAGAAAAAGUUAGCAUAGCUUUAAUUUGGAAAUCGGACCGGAUGCCUUAUAUUGUUUGCCAGACUUUUUGGAUAUACACACCACAUCGUACAUACCCACAUACUCUACUAUGGUGGUACCGACAUCAGAGUACUCCUAAGUCAAUGUUUCUUGGGAGGAAGAGGCAUCAACAUUUCAAAACAAAGAAGAAAUAGGCAAAAUAUUCUGAUCUACAAUAUUGAGCUACCGAAAAGCGCAAUGUUUGCUGAAAUAACCAAAGGUGAACUGUAUGUCAACACGCAUUACUAUAAAUUUAUCUACCUUCAAAAUCUGAGUUCAAGAUCUAAUCUUAUAUGUAUGUAGCUACUUACUGCGCUUUCGGACAUG